RNAcentral lists this long non-coding RNA (2298 nucleotides) under Triticum aestivum (bread wheat). RNAcentral's name for it is "long non-coding RNA (TAES_LNC007871)". The record is from RNAcentral. Lineage: Eukaryota; Viridiplantae; Streptophyta; Magnoliopsida; Poales; Poaceae.
AGCAUUGAUUAUACAUCUCUGAGCCGGUGCUUCAAACUCCAAGUCAUGCUCAAAACCAGAGUGUGCCACCCUUCCAUGAGGAUUAUACCACGAGCUAGGUGCUUCAUCCUGAAAACCCCAAGAAAAAGAAAGAACUCUUGAGAAAAUGUUUCACAUACUUGACUAUCGGAGAGCAAAAGGAUAUACUAAUACAGAAAAGUAUAGACAGAAAAGAUAAACGGCCCUGGGAAAACAUAUCGUUGGAUCAGUUAUUAAAAUCGAUAAAAUCGUUUUAGAAACUAUAGGUUUAGUACAGUGCACCUGAGCAAUUGCAGAAACCAAGCAGUUUUCCUUUUCUUUUCAACUUUAGGCUUGAUGCCAGACGGUCGACUUAGAACCAACAAUUAUCAGACAAUUGAGAAAUAAAAAACCCAUAGUUUUUUGCAUGUUUGAUUAAAAAAAUGUUUCUCUUUUAGUUCCAAAAAAAGUGAGUUGUAACAGCUCGCUGUUCUUUUGUUAAUGUCAGAAAUUCAACAUUGCAUAUACUGUUGCAGUUAAUUCUACUAUUAAGUCUUUGCACAUUAAUUCAAAUAACAAUUCAUACAGGCAAAAACCGAUCUCGUCUAAUGCUUCAUCAAAAAAUCCUGAAGUAAGCUUCUGCUUUCCUUUAUGGGAUUGGGUGUAUUUAUGAUUUACCUUCUCUUUUUUCUUUCUAAGAGUUGAACGAGCUUGAAUGUUUUUUUCUUCAGCCUGUGUACACAGUAAAAGGAGAAAGUUUCUAACAGAACGGUAAAAGGCAGCAUAACAAUGGCUUUCACAUGAUCAAUUACAACAAGCACAUUAUUGAUAUUCUUUUGUUGGGGACUACCAGGAGGGAGUCCAAACAGAGGGGAGUUGGCUAGCAGAUUUGGUAGGCCAAGUGUUGAGAUGGGAGUUUGUAUUAGCAUGGAUUUAAGGAGACCAGUUGUAUUAGGAAGGUCUAGGCCUAAGCAUCUACUCCCUCCGUCGUGAUUCAGAAAACAAAGCUCCAGAGGCACUUGUCCAAAUAUUGUUUUCUCAAUAUUUAGUUAAUUGGCAUAACAGAGUGGAAAUCUAGUAUGUUCUCUUUCAGCAUGAGUGGCCAAAAGAACAAACCAGACCAUGUUACUUCAAUUUGUCUUGCAUCCAAAUCUCUAAACUGAUGAUAUGGAUACACGUGGAUGUUGAAAUAUAUUGCCCGCCUCCCUCCAACAGUUCGGACUUUUGGAUGAGCUGGUCGGUGCAUGAAUUCAAUAUGGUAUCCGAGCCAAGAGGUCUUGAGUUCAAGACCCUGCUAGCGCAGUAUUAAAUAAAACGAUUCUGCGGCCUACAUCGAUCCCACGUCUAAGAACUAAAAAUAGCCUAGACGUGAGGGGGAGUGUUGAAAUAUAUUGCCCGCCUCCCUCCAACAGUUCGGACUUUUGGAUGAGCUGGUCGGUGCAUGAAUUCAAUAGUGGAAUCUACAGCAUUCUACAAACCCACAUUCUUGUAGACCUAUGCUCCCUUUGCAGGCAGGCACAUGGAUGCCUACAAUCCCUUAAUGGUUGCGGUUAUUAUUUUUCCAAACAAUUGACAAACAUUCAGAAGAUAAUGAAAAACAUGCAUAGCAGAAAUGCAGGCAACACCAUCAGAAAGUUGGUCCGAAAGAAGGUAAAUAGUGUGCAGUAGGCAUAAAUAGCAAGGUCGAUUAUCCUAACCCACCUCACUCAAGUGUGCAUCUGGGUCUACAAGGGUGAACCUUAUCUCUUGCAUCUCUCCAGGCAGGCCCACAUACGCUACUCAAAAUCGUUUCUUAUGCAGUUUCUCAUGAUUGUACACAACUUGGACAGAAAACCAAAUUCAAAGUAUCAAAUAGGUCAUUUUUCUUUGUGUUGUGUAGAAUAGGAUUGAAUAGCAACCAAGGUCACUGUGAAUAUAUGCAGUAUGGAAAUUAUUACUUACAUAUAGUCAUGCACAAUAAGUCUCCUUAAUUCUCCGUGCAUUAAAUAUUAUAACUUUGAGACGGUUCUUGAUGAACUGUACUAAAGAUGUCACUUAAAGGUGGGUUUGCACAAUAUAAUCAUGGUGAUAACAUCCCAGCAUGCCAUACAAUACUUAGAUUACAGUUCCUGGAGACAACGUCAAAAGCAAAACACGACAACAAAAAACCCAGGAAGUAACAGGCAAAUCAUUUCAGUUCAGAACCAGAUUAAAAAGGUCAACAUAGGGACACACAUCACACACAUGCAAUUAAGAAGAUUUUGUAUCUGAACGAAAAACAGAACUUGGAAGAAAUAUCAGAAUUUUCAGUUACCCACUUAC